This 497-nucleotide ribosomal RNA is filed under the name uncultured bacterium. RNAcentral's name for it is "partial 16S ribosomal RNA". It matches the Rfam family "Bacterial small subunit ribosomal RNA", at positions 28 to 507 of the family's 1533-position model. The record is from RNAcentral.
GAUGAACGCUGGCGGCGUGCCUAAUACAUGCAAGUCGAGCGAACGGACGAAAAGCUUUCUUCUAUGAUGUUGGCGACGGACGGGUGAGUAACACGUGGAUAACCUACCUAUAAGACUGGGAUAAGUUCGGGGAACCUAAUACAGUACCGGAUAUGAUUUUGAACCUGAUGGUUCAACAGUGAAAGAGGGUCUUGAUGACACUAGUAGAUGUAACCGCGUUGCAUUAGCUAGUUGGUAAGGUAACGGCUUACCAAGGCAACGAUGCAUAGCCGACCUGAGAGGGUGAUCGGUCACACUGGAACUGAGACACGGUCCAGACUCCUACGGGAGGCAGCAGUAGGGAAUAUUCCGCAAUGGGCGAAAGCCUGACGGAGCAAAGCCGCGUGUGUGAUGAAGGUCUUCGGAUCGUAAAACUCUUUUAUUAGGGAAGAACAGCAGUAUAAGAAACUGUUCACAUCUUGACGUUACCUAAAGAGAAAGCCCCGGCUAACUACGUG